This is an RNA transcript of Phyllopteryx taeniolatus (common seadragon), 7260 nucleotides long. RefSeq lists it as uncharacterized. NCBI's taxonomy places the organism in Eukaryota, Metazoa, Chordata, Actinopteri, Syngnathiformes, Syngnathidae. The record is from RefSeq and is a predicted model, not a curated record. The transcript is spliced from 8 exons.
CCCGUUCCACGUCCACAUCCUGCCCCACGGACACGCAGACGUUCGUUAAAUACAACGGUACAUCGGCCAUUGUGGCAGUCGAGCUUCAAGUGCGAUGAUGCUAACGACGCGGACCGGAAGUGCCGUACAAAGACGUACAGCCAACUUGGGGGAGCUGUUGGAUCAUGCAAAUCCACUUUGAUUGGGACUUUCUGGCUUAUUGAUGGAGGGCCAAAAGGAGGAGCAUCAAUCUUGCAGUGAAUGUGUAGCUCCUGUCUGCUGUCUGUCCAGGAGUACUUUGUGUGGACUUCGGCCAGGAUAAGAAUAAGUUCGUCUUUGGAGACAUUACACGACUCACUUACACAAGGGGAGGCUUGCAAAGCACCAAGGAGGCUACUCCGGACUUUCUUUCACCAACUUUCGCAAAUCUGCUCAGUUUUUUCCCCCCCGAGUUACUCACCGGAGCGGCGACCGCGGUCUUCAGCGUAUGGAGGCGAAGGCGACGCCACAGAGGGAAGCGAGCCGGUAUCCAGGUGAAACUCCGCAACACAGGAUACAGACUGGCGUUUCAGUCCAUCCACCUCGCGAAUGAACGGUCCUUACCCAAUAAAAUGGACGAGCUUCAUCUUCUGAUGAAGUCCAGUAAAGACUUUGGACGUUCCGCCGCCAUGUUCUUUACGGAGACUUUGCUUUGUGAGGCUAUACCCGAUGGCGCCGUCAUGCUUCCGGGCUUUCAUCUUCACCUAGCAGACCGCAUCAUGGAGUUAACGGGGAAAACAUAGGGCGGCGGGAUAUGCUUCUAUAUCAACAAAAAAUGGUGCACGGACGUCACGGAGCUCAGCACACACUGCAGCCCGCAUUUGGAGUCGCUGUCUUUGAACUGUAAGCCAUUUUACUCGCACACCCACCCAGCCACACCACCGACCACUAACACACCGCCGACUUCUGCGUUAACCAUCCUCGAACAGGAUGUGAGACGCAUCUUCCAACAACAAAAGAUUAACAAAGCAGCAGGCCCAGACUAUGUGUCCCUCAUCCACACGCAGCAUCAGCACUGGGGCGCCCCAAGGUUGUGUCCUCUCUCCGCUGCUCUUCUCUCUCUACACGAACGACUGCACCUCAACGCACCCGGCUGUCAAACUCCUGAAGUAUGCAGAUGACACCACUGUCAUCGGCCUCAUCAAGGACGGUGACGAGUCUGCAUAUCGACAGGAAGUGGAGCGGCUGGAGCUGUGGUGCGGCCGACACAACCUGGAGAUGAACACGCUCCAGACUGUAGAGAUGAUUCAGGAGGCAUCCUUCGCCACAGCUGCCCCUCACGCUGUCCAGCUGCCUUGUGUCAACCGUCGAGACCUUCAAGUUCCUGGGAAUUACAGUCUCUCAGGACCUGAAGUGGGUGAUCAUCAUCAACUCCGUCCUCAAAAAGGCCCACCAGAAGAUGUACUUCCUGUGGCUUCAGAGAAAGCACGGCCUGCCACCGGAGCUGCUGAGGCAGUUCUACACAGCGGUCAUCAAAUCAGUCCUGUGUUCUUCCAUCACAGUCUGGUUUGGUGCUGCAACAAAAAAGGACAAACUCUGACUGCAACGGACAAUCAAAACUGCUGAAAGGAUUGUCGGUACCCUCCUACCCACCCUUGAGGACUUUCACGCUGCCAGAACUAAGACAAGAGCGUGGAAAAUCCUCUCGGACCCUCCACAUCCCGGUCACCAGUUCUUCCAGCUCCUUCCCUCAGUGUGUGGAUUCCAAGGAGCUGGGUGUUCCAUCGAGGGGACAGUCUCUGCAUCAGAGAGACGCUCUCUCUGUGUCGUCAGUGUCUCGUCUCUCCUUGCACCCCUCUGCUCUACACAACCGAACUCGCCCAUUCUCUGUGGCCAUCCAUCUGCACCACUGAUCAGAAGCUUUCAAACCAAGGCUUUGAUAAGCAGUUGGAGACGCAUCACAGCUCCAGCUGCUCCGCUUCCUGUCGAUACGCAGACUCGUCACCAUCUUUGAUGAGGCUGAUGAAUGCGGUGUCGUCUGCAAACUGCAGGAUGUUGACAGCCCGGUGCGUUGAGGUGCAGUCAUUCGUGUAGAGAGAGAACAACGGAGAGAGGACACAUCCUUGGGGCGCCCCAGUGCUGGGGGUGCGUGUAGACGGAGUGGUGCACACGUCUCACUGAUGAAGACACAUCCGCUACUGAAGCUCUUUUCAUAUUAAAAGUUUUCUAUAUUGUACAAAUUGAUUUUCUAUGACAUUCACAACUCUAAGGAAAUCUCCAUGCACCACAAUUUACAGCAAGCGUCAGAUAUCUAUUUGGUGGAUGCAUACAAACACCCAGGUUAUGCACAGUGGUUGGAUGUGAAGUCUCUAUUGGGGGAAUAUGCCUUGCUGAUCCACAAGUCAGAUGCAUUUAUUAAAAAAAAAAAAAAGAAGAAGAAAAGACGUGAAAUAACCGGAGAAUAAGGCCCUUAAGGAAGAAAAACCAAUAAAAACUGAAUUUAUGCACAUCUUCAAUGGCUGGUAAAAUUUCAAGUUUUCUAAAAAGCAUGACAUAAAGUAAAUAGGAAGUGGUAAAUUGGCAGCUAGUGUUACGAUAAUGUUGUUUCCAGUUUCUUAAGCUUAAGGGAGUGUCAAAUGAGUGCUGAGGUUAAAAACUGUGACAUUAAGAAAAAUGAAAGUAAAAAUGAGCCACAACCUGGCCUGAGUGGUGCAAAAAAAAGCCAAUAAAUUGUUAUUGAAGGAAACAUUAUAAAGGUGAAACUGAUAAAUUGCUCGAAACAUCUCUGAUGUUUUUUACCCAGUAAGACAUCAUUUGUCGCAGAAAAGGUAAAGGAUUGAUUUACUGUUAUAAAUUACUUUAGUAAUUUUUAUAAGUGUUCCUGUUAUGAGCUGCCCUGCAGUACUGUUGUUGGACCGUGGGUGGCGCUUUGCGCCCUCUCGUCCGCUUUAUCUCCCCUCCCCUCUCUCUUUCCAGCACCUCUUCGGCCGCACACCUGUCACCAAUCAGCCCUUGUUCCCACCUGCAUUUAAGCCUGCCUGACCCCGGAAAUCCUCGCCAGAGUAUUGAAGCUUCUCCUGCGUGUUCCCUUCGUAUUCCUCGUGGAUUUCUGCCACCACGCCGCCAAGCCAGCCGCCUGUCCUCGUCACCGCCUGCCACACGUUCUCUGCCUCAACAACCCGCCAGCACAUCUCAAGGACCAUCUCCAUUCCCCUUUUUCAAUAAACUUUUCAGAACAACCUCUGAGCCUUCGCCUGCUCUUGGGUCCAGUCUAAAUCCACUCAUGACAGUUCCACUGCUAUAUGGCUCCUCAUCAUUCCGUGCGCCCCUGCUAGUUCAUGCUAGCUUACAGUAAUGCCCUCACAUGUAGGAAAGGGGAGCCGCAGUCACGAUGCACUUUUCAGCCAUUUAUACAAUGCUAGAAGAACAGUAAAUCACCCACACACUCACCUAUGUCACACACCACUCUCUUUCACUAAGAGUCAUAGGGCAGAAGUGGUUUGACCUUUAUGUCCAGAAUAAAAACAGUUUCUACUCAUGAAAGUAAAAUUAGCACUAUCAUAAGGUUCACGAUGAUUGAGACCAAAGUACAUCAUUUUAAAUUAGUUUUAUACAUCAGUUAGGAUAUCUAACAGCUGCAAAACUGGGUGCUAAAGUUAGUAAAAAAAAAAAGUUGCACCAUAUUAUCUGUAGGGCUUAAUACACUGUAAAUUUAAAAUGGUAGCCAUAGGCUAAGUUGCACAAUAUGGCUGGGGCAAGUUGAGCUGCCCAUCUAAUAUAUGUAUUAUUUUGGCUGCAUAGCAACGUAACAGAUGUAAGCUCCAUUCCCCUAGUUGAAGGCAGCAAAGCCUAAAAGAAAAAGUGAAGACACGUAUCGUGACUGCAACACCUGAAAAGGUGUUGUUGGAGGCCGGUCACAAAGACAAAAAAAAGGCGAGGGAACCAGAGAAAAGCAAAUGGAUGGAGAGAAGGGAUGAAUAGAAGAAAGGAACUGACCAUGGAGGAGCAAGGGAGGAAGAAAAAGGAUGGGUGAUGAGGAAAGUUUUCUGUUUCCUGUUUUAAAGCGUUCUCGGGGCUGUUGAAAAAAGUUGAAAGAGGCUAGUAGUAUAGGCUUUUCUUUUUAUCCAUCCAUCCAUUUUCUGAGCCGCUUCUCCUCACUAGGGUCGCGGGCGUGCUGGAGCCUAUCCCAGCUAUCAUCGGGCAGGAGGCGGGGUACACCCUGAACUGGUUGCCAGCCAAUCGCAGGGCACAUAGAGACAAACAACCAUUCGCACUCACAGUCAUGCCUACGGGCAAUUUAGCGUCUCCAAUUCAUGCAUGUUUUUGGGAUGUGGGAGGAAACCGGAGUGCCCGGAGAAAACCCACGCAGGCACGGGGAGAACAUGCAAACUCCACACAGGCGGGGACGGGGAUUGAACCCCGCACCUCAGAACUGUGAGGCUGACGGUCUAACCAGUCGGCCACCGUGCCGCGCUUUUCUUUUUAGUUUUUUAAAAUAAAUAAAUACAGUACAUUAGUAUUUAAGGAAAUGCCCAAUUUCAUUCGGUACAGACAUGUCUUACUAUGGAUGGAGCCAGGUUGGCUCAGUAUGGAGGUUGCUCCAGCACAGCAAUCUAUUUCUGGACCAGGAACUGUCGGAUGCUAAGGGCAUUGUAAAAGGGUGCGUUGUCGAGGUGGAACAGCCAUGACUUGUCCUGCCAUAACUCUUGUCUCUUCUCAAGCACUGAACCAAUAAAUGCUGUAUCACUUUGCAGAUGCACUGGUUGAAUGUCUGGCCCACACUAAAGGAGAAAACUCAGUUUGUGAUUGAAACAUACAUUUUGUUACACCAUUCCUGGAACAUUUCUGACACCUCAUAGGAAAGUUGUGCAAUUGUAGGUCUAAAAGAAAGAAUACCAAAAAUGCUGGAUAUUCUAACAGCACAAGUGCAAGACUAGUGAUCUUAUUGGGUAUGCAAGCUGUAUAAUUGUAAAUUAAGGAUUUUGACAAUGUUGGAAAUUUGAAAUGAAGGGUGGAUGAAGGUAAAUGAGGCAGCAUGAAGCCAGAACAUCUUCCCUAAUGAAUUUUCACAAAUGCUUCAUUAAUUCUUACACAGGCAAUUCAUAAACUUUAAGUUCAUGUGACAGAAUGCAUUUUAGUUCUUCAUAUUUUUAAUGUAUUUCUAGAAUAUACAAGGCCCAUGUUAGGUGUCUCUUCACAUUUGUUACCUUAUCCUUUUCCUGUGCCGGAAUGAUUUGGUGUGGAUUCACAAAAUAGUCAGAGCUGGCGCCGGUAAAGGCCUGUGUAUGAGGCACAGAUAAUCAACAGUGUUUUUCUUAAAUUCACAUUGUGCAUACAAGUGAGAGACAAAGCCCGCACACCUAAUCUGGCACAUGGUCCAACCUAUUGGCAACAGUCCGAGGGUAACAGUUACAGAAGCAAGGUGCUAUUUAAGACACCCCCAACCACCGAACCAACUUAUGUCAAAUGAAUUUCCACCACUAAUUACACUCUGAUGAUAUGUCUGAUAUUGUCUAUCAAACGUGCUGAUUGUCUUUGUUGCUAUUUCUAUCAGAAAUUGUAAACCAGCAAACCAAUCGAGGGUAAAAACAGUUCUCACCGGCCAUCAAACUACAGUGUGUCCUCGCUUGUCUAUUCUCUUGUUGGUCAGUGCCAUGUCAGGAUGUAAACAGGAAAAUGGCUUGACGUACAGACUAGUGUGGACAGCUUCAAAUGGCGGACUGCAGUCUGUGUCUGCACUGAGUCAAGGUCUCAGUCGGACCCACAGUUAUCCAUCCUUCCAUCCAUUUUCCAUACCCCUGAUCCUCACGAGGGUCAGGGGCGUGCUGGAGCCUAUCCCAGCUAUCUUAGGGCGAGAGGCGGGGUACACCCUGAACUGGUUGCCAGCCAAUCGCAAGGCACAUAGAAACAAACAACCAUUCGCACUCACAGUCACACCUACGGGCAAUUCAGUCUUCACACCGGCACGGGGAGAACAUGCAAACUCCACACAGGGAAGGCCGGAUUUGAACCCGAGUCCUCAGAACUGUCAGGCAGAUGUGCUAACCAGACAUUCACCGUGCCACCACAGUCAAUUAAAGAUUUAAAUAAGGAGUUAAAUAAAGAUUUAUAAAGAGUUUUUUCCUCCCACAGGCCGCUGUCACAGACUGUGUACGAGCCAGUGGUGGGACCAAGUCACUGCUUUGCAAGAAACAACUGCAUUCAGAUGGUGAGAAGAGACACAGGAAGAAGACGGGAGACCUGAAAUAGCCUCCUGAAAUAGCCCAGAGCAUCCUGAGACAGCAGCCUGCCCCAGCCUGUAGUUAAUUCCCACCUCUUGUCCUUAAAUGUGUGUGUGGUUAUGUGAGUGCACAUGAAAAUAGAUAAGUUUGUGGGUGUUUACUCUCCCUCUCUCCUCCCUUCCCAUUUGAUUUCAAUAAAAGCCACCCAGUUAAAUUGACAUGUCAGAGGGGAAAUCAGAGUGAAGCAGGAAUUUAUGAGUAAACAUUUCAUUUAUGCACUUUCUUAUGUUUAUUCAUUCACGACAAGGCCAAAGUAAUGUAAAGUAAUGUUUCCGUUUGGUUCCUUGCACUAUUCAUUAGAUUGUGUAUUGCCUGAGGUGUAGCUACAUAGAAUGGUUGAAGAGCUGUUUUGGCAGCAAUGUCAUUGAAAGAACCGUGUGGAUUUUCAUUCCAUAUUCAUCACAGUAACAACAGAGAAAAGGAUCCAUGAUGGCAUGUCUUUGUGUGGCUUUGCUAUGAGAGGAAUUGCGGGGGGGGGGUUUGUGUGUCUCACUUCAUUCCUAUUUAUUUCGGAGGUAAAUUGUUUCUGUGACUGGACUGUUUCUGGAUGCGGCCAUCACUCAAGAUGGCCAAGGUCUCAGGUGUGAGAUGUUGCGAUACAUUACGACAUCGUUGAUCAAUAUUGAUUGAUCCUUGCAACUUCAGUGAAUAUCCCCGGCCAUCCCUUCCGCUUCUGCGAUUAUAUUGAUGUAAUUAAUAUGGUAGACAUGUUGUCAGCUAUAACUAUUUAACCUUGCACAGAACCCUAAUAAAUACCAAGCAGGGAGUUCAGAUGAACUGAGUUGAUGCUUAAUGCAGUUAUUCUCCAAGCAGUACAGACGAGGAAGAGUUUCUGCCUACAGCAGUUUCUCUCGCAUGUCCAAUAAGUGAUGUAACACAACACCAGCUGGCUAGAGAAGAUGGCUGAUAUGAAUCUGUGGGAUUUGAUGUGUGAAGGAAUGCAAUACAAUCUCUUUUUGGUUUGAGGGUUGCUUUUUUAAAAUUUGAUUUUAUUUUUUUAUUUUGUUUGCUCAUUAAGAUA